CUGGCCCUGGACUACCCCGCACUGCUCUCUGGGGACACCGCUACUCAGAAGUCCCUCCGAAGUCUGCGGAGCUCAGAGCGAACUUCCGGCAGCCACCGCUUGUCCUUUGUGGAUCAUGUAACCCCUCAAUCAAUGCCGGUCGAAGACUGGAAAAAGAAACCGUUUGGGCAGUUUCCUUACCACUCCCUCUGGGUGAAGAAAGCAAACAAACAAAUCACUCAGCAUACAGCAGGUGCUGAGAAAACGCUUGCCACCCCUUCUGGGGGGGAAUAUUUGCUGCUUCCUGAACUCCUGACCCUGGCCAGAACAAUCGCUCACUGUCUGGUGUGAAUCAUCUCUUCUCUGCUCCUGCUGUCCCUUCUGCACACCACUGCACUCGUCUGGUGACAAGGGCCUUCUAUUCAUAGUUUGUUAAAGCACUUGAGACAUUAGCUUGGCAGACCACUCACACGUGAAGUGGCCGUGGGACGCCAAAUGUGAGGACGCAGCCACGCACGGAACUGCAAAAGCUCUCUUCGAGGCGCUUACGCGUUCGUGAGGAAACAGGUAUGAAGCAAAUAGAUACCUCACACCUGCCAUGAGUUUUACGUGCCACGAACGAAGUCCGGCGGGGCUCAAGAAGCAGGAGUCCAUCGGACGCCGGACAAGGGCGUCGGCCAAGGAGACCGAGACUGGCUUACGGGCAGAAGUACAGCAGUUUAUGCCCAACUGGAGAAAAGGUCCUGACAAUUGAUUUGAGUGGCCAGGAAACAUAACCAACACGUCUCUGGGAGGCCUAGACCCGUGGUUCCUGCGAAGCAACAUCCAACCACCCCCGACAAAUGCACGCCGGCCACGGUGCCACCCGGUCCCUACUGUCGCCCCGACACUAGGAGGCCAAGUAUCACUGGUAGAACUUCUCCGCCAAGUUCCAGACCCGAAUAUCCAACAACGUCACUUGGCAUCUCCACUUGGUUGUCUUAUAAGGAACUGCAAACAUCAUGUCCACACUGGGCUCCUUACUCCCUCCUUCCCAAGCCUGCUGUUCCCUGCAUUAAAUCUUCUGAGAACACCAACAGUGGGAACACAGCAGGGGAACGUCAACCUUCCAGGGCACUGAUUUAUCCGAAUCUUUCUUGAGUGAAAGGCCAUGGGGAGCUGAGGGACAAGUUCGGACACCAUGUCAACACCCACACCUACAGCAAGCCCUGGACUGAGGAAGUAAAAGAAGAUUUUUCAGAAGUAAAAUGUGCAGGGUUUGGUAACAAUGUGAGGGCAGUGCGUGGGGAUGGUAAUAUGGGCAACAGCCUGACAACCUUCAUGGAGAUGGAAAAGGACAGAGGGAUGAGGGAAGGGGGAGAGAGAGGAAGGGCACACAGGAGUUCAAUUUCGGAGCAUGUUAAUUAAAUGUGUCACAUUAAUACAUGCAUUAAUAUAUCUUUCUUAGAUACACUUCAAAGCCUAAUCCACUCCUCCAAGGCAAUUGUUAAAGGUUUAAGUUACUCCUAAAUCACAUAAGCUCAAAGACUCACAAGGGCUCAAAUUCACUGGGUACAGAGGCUCCAGGUAAC
This is a long non-coding RNA of Neofelis nebulosa (Clouded leopard), 1550 nucleotides long. RefSeq lists it as uncharacterized. NCBI's taxonomy places the organism in Eukaryota, Metazoa, Chordata, Mammalia, Carnivora, Felidae. The record is from RefSeq and is a predicted model, not a curated record. The transcript has 4 exons.